RNAcentral lists this ribosomal RNA (209 nucleotides) under uncultured bacterium. Its description in RNAcentral is "partial 16S ribosomal RNA". It matches the Rfam family "Bacterial small subunit ribosomal RNA", at positions 568 to 777 of the family's 1533-position model. The record is from RNAcentral.
UGCGUAGGUGGUGGGGUAAGUCGUAUGUGAAAGCUCGGAGCUCAACUCCGAAAUGGCAUUGGAAACUACCCUGCUAGAGGGUCGGAGGGGGGACUGGAAUUCUCGGUGUAGCAGUGAAAUGCGUAGAUAUCGAGAGGAACACCAGUGGCGAAGGCGAGUCCCUGGCGACUCCUGACACUGAGGCACGAAAGGCUGGGGAAGGCAAAACA